AUCCAACUGAUGAGUCCCAAAUAGGACAAGUUGCGCGUCUUGUAU
Schistosoma rodhaini is the source of this 45-nucleotide non-coding RNA. The record is from Rfam. NCBI's taxonomy places the organism in Eukaryota, Metazoa, Platyhelminthes, Trematoda, Strigeidida, Schistosomatidae.